UCCGGCCUAGCUCAAUUGGUAGAGCAACUGACUUGUAAUCAGUAGGUUGGGGGUUCAAGUCCUCUGGCCGGCACCA
RNAcentral lists this transfer RNA (76 nucleotides) under Staphylococcus aureus DAR3844. Its description in RNAcentral is "tRNA-Thr". It matches the Rfam family "tRNA". From Rfam's summary of the family: Transfer RNA (tRNA) molecules are approximately 80 nucleotides in length. Their secondary structure includes four short double-helical elements and three loops (D, anti-codon, and T loops). Lineage: Bacteria; Bacillati; Bacillota; Bacilli; Caryophanales; Staphylococcaceae. The record is from RNAcentral.